GUCAAACUCAUUGUCUGUGAUAUUUUGUUUUUUUCCUUUCAAUUAAGACCCAGACAACUAGGUAAGGAACCAGGGAAGUUCCUUACUAAGACCUAGACAACCAGGUGAGGGGAGUUCCUUACUAAGACCUAGACAACCAGGUAAGGGGAGUUCCUUACUAAGACCUAGACAACCAGGUGAGGGAAGUUCCUUACUAAGACCUAGACAACCAGGUGAGGGGAGUUCCUUACUAAGACCCAGACAACCAGGUGAGGGGAGUUCCUUACUAAGACCUAGACAACCAGGUGAGGGGAGUUCCUUACUAAGACCCAGACAACCAGGUGAGGGGAAUUCUUUACUAAGACCUACCAGGUGAGGGGUGUUCCUUACUAAGACCUAGACAACAAGGUGAGGGGAGAUCUUUACUAAGACCCAGACAACCAGGUGAGGGGAGUUCCUUACCUAGACCUACCAGGUGAGGGGAGUUCUUUACUAAUUAGAGACCUUAAUUCAUCGAGUACAAGCCCCCCAGGAUCGACUUUGUGAAACCCUGCGCUAGAGUCCAAUGUCACCUCUAUUAGCAAUGACUAACCAACCAGCUGACGCUUUGUCCUACUUCUGAGUGAGAAUGAGUCACCUGUGCUCCCAAAACAGACCACUAGAUGGCAGUAAAUGUCCCUAUAUUCAUACCUUGCUUUAUUGUUUGCACUGUAGGGUACUAAGGGGUAACUGCCCCCCCCCACCCCCCUGUAAUUCCACAAGAUGUCACCAAAUUAUUUCCCCACCACUUCCCUUGCUGCCACUGCUCUUGCUCAACAAAAAUGUCCUCAAUGACAUCACAACCUUUGGAGAUAUUUCAACAAAACUAUUUUGUGGUAAAUUGAUCAAGUUGUAGAUAUAUUCCAAUGAAGUGAGAUCUAUACUUGUUUUUUAAAAUAUACAAGUAGGAAAGCCUUAAGCUAAAUAAUACUCUUGUUUAGAGAGAACAAUGUCUAUAAUUUUUUUGUAAACUAGUAAUAUGUUGGGUGAGUGUGUUGGGCACCCCCCCCCAACACACACACUUGGUUUAUUUUUAGGUUUAUGUUUAUGAAUGUGUUUUUACCUGUCAUUUAGACAAUGACUACCCUAGUUAGCACUAGUUUAUGCUAACUUGCUAGCUAGCAACUUCACUAGCAGUAAAUGCUAGCCAGCGAUCUAGUUAGCAUAAGCUGCUAUGGGUACUAGGUAGCAACCUUACUACCAGAUCGAUCGUCUGAGGUGAAAUACAUCACAAAGAUAACGUAACUUAAUUGCAGUUGUAAAAUGUAUCCACCAGUGACUGAUAACUUUAUAGUUAAUGUUACUUUAAUAGCAUUUUAGCUAUUUUACACAGCAUUUUAUGUCAUAUAGCUAGAUAGCUGGCUACGUAAAAAAUAAACACUUUUCAAUUGGUAUCUCUCCCCUUGUUUUCAGUCACAGAUGGGGACUGGAUUAGGUGUGAGCAGUGCAGGAGGUGGCCUCGUGAAUUGUGCUCCAAUUUUACUGGGGAUCGCUUCAUUUGUGACCUAUGUGCAAAUUAGAAUCGUGCAAUAGCAGAGCAUAAGAAAGUGGCCACAUCAAUGUUACGC
Molecule: long non-coding RNA, 1586 nt
Organism: Oncorhynchus tshawytscha (Chinook salmon)
Lineage: Eukaryota; Metazoa; Chordata; Actinopteri; Salmoniformes; Salmonidae
Source: Ensembl